This 480-nucleotide unclassified non-coding RNA is filed under the name Hevea brasiliensis (rubber tree). The record is from RNAcentral. Lineage: Eukaryota; Viridiplantae; Streptophyta; Magnoliopsida; Malpighiales; Euphorbiaceae.
GUUCAAGGUUGCAACAGUAGCAAUAGCAAGAUUAGCAAGAACAUGAUCCCCAGUUGGGAUUCGUGUGGAUAUAGGAAUGGCAUCGAUGCAUUUCGAAAGAUUUUGCGUGCAGAUGGUCCAAGUGGGUUGUAUAGAGGGUUUGGGAUAUCAAUAUUGACUUAUGCACCAUCCAAUGCAGUUUGGUGGGCAUCUUACUCUGUGGCACAUAGGCUUAUUUGGGGUGGAAUCGCUUGCUCCACAAAUAAAAAGGACGAGAGUUCUGUAAAUGGUAGAGCCUUUGGUUAUAGGCCUGAUUCAAAGGCAAUGGGCAGGGGUUAUGUGCAGCCAUGGCUAGUGGGGUUUCAGCUAUGAUUACCAUGCCACUUGACACUAUUAAGACACGCAUGCAGGUUUUGGAUGGAGAGCAAAAUGGAAUAAGACAGCCAUUGACUGUUAUACAAACAGUUAAAAAUCUGGUCAAGGAAGGUGGAUUUGUGGCUU